This 263-nucleotide ribosomal RNA is filed under the name uncultured bacterium. Its description in RNAcentral is "partial 16S ribosomal RNA". It matches the Rfam family "Bacterial small subunit ribosomal RNA", at positions 793 to 1055 of the family's 1533-position model. The record is from RNAcentral.
GUCCACGCUGUAAACGAUGUCUACUGGCCGUUGGCCUCCUUGAGGGGUUAGUGGCGCAGCUAACGCGAUAAGUAGACCGCCUGGGGAGUACGGCCGCAAGGUUAAAACUCAAAUGAAUUGACGGGGGCCCGCACAAGCGGUGGAGCAUGUGGUUUAAUUCGACGCAACGCGAAGAACCUUACCUACUCUUGACAUCCUGCGAAGCCUGUAGAGAUAUGGGUGUGCCUUCGGGAGCGCAGAGACAGGUGCUGCAUGGCUGUCGU